CGCUGGCGGCGUGCCUAAUACAUGCAAGUCGAACGCACUCUCGUUUAGAUUGAAGGAGCUUGCUCCUGAUUGAUAAACAUUUGAGUGAGUGGCGGACGGGUGAGUAACACGUGGGUAACCUGCCCUAAAGUGGGGGAUAACAUUUGGAAACAGAUGCUAAUACCGCAUAAAACCUAACACCGCAUGGUGUAGGGUUGAAAGAUGGUUUCGGCUAUCACUUUAGGAUGGACCCGCGGUGCAUUAGUUAGUUGGUGAGGUAAAAGGCUCACCAAGACCGUGAUGCAUAGCCGACCUGAGAGGGUAAUCGGCCACACUGGGACUGAGACACGGCCCCAGACUCCUACGGAGGCAGCAGUAGGGAAUCUUCCACAAUGGACGAAAGUCUGAUGGAGCAACGCCGCGUGAGUGAAGAAGGUUUUCGGAUCGUAAAACUCUGUUGUUGGAGAAGAAUGUAUCUGAUAGUAACUGAUCAGGUAGUGACGGUAUCCAACCAGAAAGCCACGGCUAACUACGUGC
RNAcentral lists this ribosomal RNA (516 nucleotides) under uncultured bacterium. Its description in RNAcentral is "bacterial SSU rRNA". It matches the Rfam family "Bacterial small subunit ribosomal RNA", at positions 34 to 508 of the family's 1533-position model. The record is from RNAcentral.